UACGUAGGUGGCAAGCGUUGUCCGGAAUUAUUGGGCGUAAAGAGCUCGUAGGCGGUUUGUCGCGUCGACUGUGAAAACUGGGGGCUUAACUCUCAGCUUGCAGUUGAUGCGGGCAGACUUGAGUUCGGUAGGGGAGACUGGAAUUCCUGGUGUAGCGGUGAAAUGCGCAGAUAUCAGGAGGAACACCGGUGGCGAAGGCGGGUCUCUGGGCCGAUACUGACGCUGAGGAGCGAAAGCGUGGGGAGCGAACAGG
This 253-nucleotide ribosomal RNA is filed under the name uncultured bacterium. RNAcentral describes it as "partial 16S ribosomal RNA". It matches the Rfam family "Bacterial small subunit ribosomal RNA", at positions 524 to 776 of the family's 1533-position model. The record is from RNAcentral.